Dromaius novaehollandiae (emu) is the source of this 3196-nucleotide long non-coding RNA. RefSeq lists it as uncharacterized. NCBI's taxonomy places the organism in Eukaryota, Metazoa, Chordata, Aves, Casuariiformes, Dromaiidae. The transcript has 2 exons. The record is from RefSeq and is a predicted model, not a curated record.
AUGCGCACGGGGCGUACGGGGGCCGGACGGGGGCGUGCGUGCGCCAUGGCGGCUCGUUUUAUGGCUGGAAAACCCUCACCCAGCGCCCGUUUGCCCCCGCUUUGGCAGCCCGCAGCCCGCGGUGGGCUGCACUGGACCCGGCUGCUGCCAAGGGCGUCCCAUCCGCUCCCACCGGACCAUGCCACACCCCUCCGAAGACAAAUAAAUAAUUGCUGGGGCAAUUUCUCGGCAUCCUCAAUCAACACGGUUGCCCGAGGAUGAGCAGCACCACAUCCCGGAGACGCGCUGUGAUGCUGCGGAGCAUCUGGGAAGUUUAUAAAGCUCAAAUUUACAGGGAAAAGGAGUCAAAACUGCCCUUCCUCCCAUUGUCCUCAGCCCGACAGCUCUGAAAAAGGAGGCAAAAUGGUCCAUUUGGGUCUACAGGAGGAAAAAUGGUCAGUUUGGGUCUUUGGGGUUUGUGACUUUGGGUACACGGGACCAGGCUGGGCUACAGGAUGAGCCCGGACGUGGGUCUUCCGGGCCUGCACUUCCCCCGGGUAACGUGGGGGACGAAUAAUGCAGAGCUGCGUCCCAAACCGGCCAGCUGACAUUUAUAAACCCGGCAGCGCUGCGAAUCAACAACAUCCCGUGCAAACUGUCGUUUUUCUGCCGCUAUAAACGUGAGAUCUCAGUGGAAAACUGAAUUCCUUUCCCUCUUAAUCUCCAGCUGCUUAACCAAAACCAUAAAAAUAACGUUUAUUGCAAGAAAAUAUUCCCAAUAACCUUGCAUGCUCCAGAGACAGAUGCCUCCCGAGCGCCAGGGCCUUGUUUUGUAUCUGCUCUCCUCGCUGCCAACUUCUGCUGCUGGUGGAAACUUUAUGGAUCAUUUAUUCUCUCCUUCCCAGGAGCAAAAUGCCAGCGUGAUGGAGGUUUCCUGGCUCGCUGUUCACAACGAUGCUAAUUGCCUGCCCGUAAUUGUCAGUGAUGGAUGGCUGUGCAUCUCCGAUUGCUCCCGAGCCGAGCGGGGGGAUAGCCGGGGACCGGCUCUCUGCAGGCUGGAGCGAAGGUGCUGGGCACUGGCCCUUAGGACCCUAUGGGGCAGGAGGUAGAAGGGUCAGGAUCAGGGUGCUGCCCAAAACCACCGGCGCGGACGGACUCUGCAAAGUGCGCAGGUAGAGGAGAGCCCGCACCGAGCCCCGAGGCACAGGCUGCAGGCUGAGCUCAACCCCGUAUUAGACACCGGACAAUCCCCAGGGACGGAGCCGCCAGCGCGCUCAUCCCACCAGCCGGAUUUUGCAACGACUUCCCGGGAAGCCUCCGCUGCCCGGAGGAUGAAUCGAGUGCGUGAGUCACCCCCGAGAAAGCCGGAGGCUCCCGCGCUUGUGCUGGGGGUGGGUCGCUCCCAGGGAGGCGCGCAGGGACCCAGGCGUCCGAGGUGGUCCCGCGCUCCGGGCUCCAACGGAGGGGGCGGCUGCGAGCGCGCGGUCGCUGCCGAGCGUCUCCCAGCAGCGCUCGCCUGCCCACGCACCCAGCCCUAUUACCCCCAUCAGCUCCCAGCUGCAAAGUGGUUCCCAUUAGUUGCGUUUUCGGAGGCGUCGCUUUUUCCCAUUUUGUUUUGUGCCGAAAGUGAUGUUUUCCCGGGCGCUGAGCCCCAUCCCCGUGGCCGGGGCUGGACCAAGCCUCAGGAAGAGCAUCCGAGGAGGAUUUUCCCCUUCUCCCCUCUUUUCCUCCCCGCUCUAGACACCUCGUUGCUGCUGUCCCAGGAUGCAACACCCCCAGUUGAAUUUGCUUUUUUUCAGGGAGCUGAUGCAGGUCCCAGCACAGCCCCCCGACGCAGCAGCGCUGGCGGAGCAGGGGGGCAGCGUGCUGUCGCAUCACGCUGGGAAUAACCCUGCUGUCACCUUUCUCUGGCCCGGCAGCGCUCCUCUUAAUGCAAAUGGCUUCAACUUUAGGGACUUUUACAGCCAGAGUCCUGGAAGGGCAAACUGAAUCAUGGCAAGGUUAAAUGACUUGGCUGGGGCCGAACCGGAAGCCUGUGGCAGAGGAGGGCUUUGAUUCCUCCCUCUCGCAGAGCCGUGCACCAGCUGCUGAGCCAUCAUUUCUCCCCAUUAGCCCUGGUGUUUCCCAGUAAAGACUGAGCAAGAUGAGAGCUGAAACUCUUUAAUGUCGUCAGCCUGCAAGAAAGUGUUGUUUCGGGGUAAACAAGCAAGCAAAGCCAGGCGCACAAGCUCCGCGCCAGCCUGCAAAGUGCCUGGACGCGGAGGGGCCUGUUGGCUGAGCGUUUAGUAGCGUUAACUCUGCUCGCCCACGCUACGAGCAAUUGCCGUUCGCGUCGCACCCGUUGCACCAAUGCAAGAUUUCGGACCCCGCGUGUCUCUGCGCGUCCUUUCGGCCCGACGCGGGAGGGUUUUUGCAGCCUGGUUGCACGGCUCUUUGCACGGCUCUCCCCGCAGCGGGGCUCGCUCUUCCCCGCGGACGCAGAGGGGAUUUGGUGAUGCUCUUAACACGUAGUUAUCCCGCAGCCCCAGAGCGACGGGGCGCGUGAGCAAGUGGAUCGAGGCAGGAAGGUGCACGGCUGAUGAGAGCUGGCGGACAACGACCUGCACGAGAUCCAGCCCUGUGUUUCUGUGUGUGAGCACGGCAGAGGCUGCGACAGAGCAGCCUGGGUUCAAGGGAAGAGCCAGAUAACAGCUAUAAGCCACCACAGGCCACAACGAGGGUGCAGAUUAAAACUCUCAUUGGCGUAAAACCUUCCUCAUAGCUCCGGGCACAAACUGGUCCACACACACAAGAAGAGCGGGGUUUGGCAGCAGAGCUGUCUUUCGUUGGGUUGAGGAGCGCAUUGCACCACUACAGACGAGUCGAGGUCAGUGGAUAAUCUGCUGCGUUAAGGUUUAAGACACAGGUUAACCUUGCAAACGGCUGCGGUGGUUUAAAAUGCCGGUCCCACCCACCCUGUGCGAGGCAGCGCUCCCGCGGCAAGGUGACGGGACGGGGCACGUGCAGCUGCUCCAGCCCCAAGUCCCCCCGCUGCUGCGGGAGCGCCUGCCCGUGGCCUCCCCACUCCCCGCAAAAGUUCUGUGCUGCCGAAUUGUCUCUAAAGACCUCCCAUUUCCUCCCAGAUGUUUUUUUUUCUCUGAUUGGCCUCAUUAAAUCAAUUUAAAAACGUUUAGCAAAACGUUCUCCCCGGGCAAAUUAAAGCAGUUGAACGCGCUGA